Molecule: ribosomal RNA, 1379 nt
Filed under: bacterium NLAE-zl-G257
Lineage: Bacteria
Description: 16S ribosomal RNA
Rfam family: Bacterial small subunit ribosomal RNA
Source: RNAcentral
UUGCAAACUGGAGAUGGCGACCGGCGCACGGGUGAGUAACACGCUAUCCAACCUGCCGAUAACUCGGGGAUAGCCUUUCGAAAGAAAGAUUAAUACCCGAUGGUAUAAUCANACCGCAUGGUCUUGUUAUUAAAGAAUUUCGGUUAUCGAUGGGGAUGCGUUCCAUUAGGCAGUUGGUGAGGUAACGGCUCACCAAACCUUCGAUGGAUAGGGGUUCUGAGAGGAAGGUCCCCCACAUUGGAACUGAGACACGGUCCAAACUCCUACGGGAGGCAGCAUUGAGGAAUUUUGUUCAAUGGGCGCAGGCCUGAACCAGCCAAGUAGCGUGAAGGAUGACUGCCCUAUGGGUUGUAAACUUCUUUUAUAUGGGAAUAAAGUUUUCCACGUGUGGAAUUUUGUAUGUACCAUAUGAAUAAGGAUCGGCUAACUCCGUGCCAGCAGCCGCGGUAAAUACGGAGGAUCCGAGCGUUAUCCGGAUUUAUUGGGUUUAAAGGGAGCGUAGGUGGACAGUUAAGUCAGUUGUGAAAGUUUGCGGCUCAACCGUAAAAUUUGCAGUUGAUACUGGCUGUCUUGAGUACAGUAGAGGUGGGCGGAAUUCGUGGUGUAGCGGUGAAAUGCUUAGAUAUCACGAAGAACUCCGAUUGCGAAGGCAGCUCACUGGACUGCAACUGACACUGAUGCUCGAAAGUGUGGGUAUCAAACAGGAUUAGAUACCCUGGUAGUCCACACAGUAAACGAUGAAUACUCGCUGUUUGCGAUAUACAGUAAGCGGCCAAGCGAAAGCAUUAAUUAUUCCACCUGGGGAGUACGCCGGCAACGGUGAAACUCAAAGGAAUUGACGGGGGGCCCGCACAAGCGGAGGAACAUGUGGUUUAAUUCGAUGAUACGCGAGGAACCUUACCCCGGGCUUAAAUUGCAUUUGAAUUUAUUGGAAACAGUAUAGCCCGUAAGGCAAAUGUGAAGGUGCUGCAUGGUUGUCGUCAGCUCGUGCCGUGAGGUGUCGGCUUAAGUGCCAUAACNGAGCGCAACCCUUAUCUUUAGUUACUAACAGGUCAUGCUGAGGACUCUAGAGAGACUGCCGUCGUAAGAUGUGAGGAAGGUGGGGAUGACGUCAAAUCAGCACGGCCCUUACGUCCGGGGCUACACACGUGUUACAAUGGGGGGUACAGAAGGCAGCUACCUGGUGACAGGAUGCUAAUCCCAAAAGCCUCUCUCAGUUCGGAUCGAAGUCUGCAACCCGACUUCGUGAAGCUGGAUUCGCUAGUAAUCGCGCAUCAGCCAUGGCGCGGUGAAUACGUUCCCGGGCCUUGUACACACCGCCCGUCAAGCCAUGAAAGCCGGGGGUACCUGAAGUACGUAACCGCAAGGAGCUCCUAGGG